RNAcentral lists this ribosomal RNA (450 nucleotides) under uncultured bacterium. Its description in RNAcentral is "partial 16S ribosomal RNA". It matches the Rfam family "Bacterial small subunit ribosomal RNA", at positions 354 to 796 of the family's 1533-position model. The record is from RNAcentral.
GUAGGGAAUCUUCCACAAUGGACGAAAGUCUGAUGGAGCAACGCCGCGUGAGUGAAGAAGGUCUUCGGAUCGUAAAACUCUGUUGUUAGAGAAGAACGUGCAUGAUAGUAACUGAUCAUGUAAUGACGGUAUCUAACCAGAAAGCCACGGCUAACUACGUGCCAGCAGCCGCGGUAAUACGUAGGUGGCAAGCGUUGUCCGGAUUUAUUGGGCGUAAAGGGAACGCAGGCGGUUUUUUAAGUCUGAUGUGAAAGCCUUCGGCUUAACCGAAGAAUAGCAUUGGAAACUGGAAGACUUGAGUGCAGAAGAGGAGAGUGGAAUUCCAUGUGUAGCGGUGAAAUGCGUAGAUAUAUGGAGGACCACCAGUGGCGAAAGCGGCUCUCUGGUCUGUAACUGACGCUGAGGUUCGAAAGCGUGGGUAGCAAACAGGAUUAGAAACCCUAGUAGUCC